AGAGUUUGAUCCUGGCUCAGGAUGAACGCUGGCGGCGUGCUUAACACAUGCAAGUCGAACGAUGAACCUCACUUGUGGGGGGAUUAGUGGCGAACGGGUGAGUAACACGUGAGUAACCUGCCCUUGACUCUGGGAUAAGCCUGGGAAACCGGGUCUAAUACUGGAUACGACCUUCUGGCGCAUGCCAUGUUGGUGGAAAGCUUUUGUGGUUUUGGAUAGACUCGCGGCCUAUCAGCUUGUUGGUGGGGUAAUGGCCUACCAAGGCGACGACGGGUAGCCGGCCUGAGAGGGUGACCGGCCACACUGGGACUGAGACACGGCCCAGACUCCUACGGGAGGCAGCAGUGGGGAAUAUUGCACAAUGGGCGCAAGCCUGAUGCAGCGACGCCGCGUGAGGGAUGAAGGCCUUCGGGUUGUAAACCUCUUUCAGUAGGGAAGAAGCUGGUCCUUCGGGGUUGGUGACGGUACCUGCAGAAGAAGCGCCGGCUAACUACGUGCCAGCAGCCGCGGUAAUACGUAGGGCGCAAGCGUUAUCCGGAAUUAUUGGGCGUAAAGAGCUCGUAGGCGGUUUGUCGCGUCUGCCGUGAAAGUCCGGGGCUUAACCCCGGAUCUGCGGUGGGUACGGGCAGACUAGAGUGCAGUAGGGGAGACUGGAAUUCCUGGUGUAGCGGUGAAAUGCGCAGAUAUCAGGAGGAACACCGAUGGCGAAGGCAGGUCUCUGGGCUGUAACUGACGCUGAGGAGCGAAAGCAUGGGGAGCGAACAGGAUUAGAUACCCUAGUAGUCC
Molecule: ribosomal RNA, 786 nt
Filed under: uncultured bacterium
Lineage: Bacteria
Description: bacterial SSU rRNA
Rfam family: Bacterial small subunit ribosomal RNA
Source: RNAcentral